GCCCCCCGUGCAGCGCACCUCAAAAGUAGACAUUGUGAUAAGCGUAAAUGACAUUUUCAGCAACGCCGGCAAAAGUUACCGUGUUUCGCAAAAUCACACGGUUCCCUCUGGCUUCGAAUACAAGGUUGUGUCGUUCGAUGGAGUGGCACCUACUCAUGGACCAGUAGCUGGAGGAACCAACAUUUCUUUGAGCGGAGUUAACCUAGACAUUGGCUUAGAGCAGGUAGUGAAAAUCGGCAGAAGCUUAUGCGGAAUAAGAAGAGUGGAAAAUAGGUUUCUUCAUUGUUCAACGAGCUCCGUAAGCCCUAGAUCGCUUCAAAGGAUGCAAGUCAGGCUGGUUAUAGAUGGCGCUGAAGUUCCUUUCACUACGUCGGAUGGUCGACGCCCAACAUUCACUUACAUGCCGAACCCAGUGAUCGACAACAUCUCUCCCUCCAAUGCAAC
Long non-coding RNA from Rhipicephalus sanguineus (brown dog tick), 444 nucleotides. RefSeq lists it as uncharacterized. The record is from RefSeq and is a predicted model, not a curated record. NCBI's taxonomy places the organism in Eukaryota, Metazoa, Arthropoda, Arachnida, Ixodida, Ixodidae. The transcript is spliced from 3 exons.